UAAUUAGGCUAUAAAUAGAGAUGUUUUCAAAUGUUGAAGGACUUUUGCCUCUUUUAUCAUUUUCAUAAUCUCAACAAAAGAAAAAAGAAAGCUUCCAAUCUCAUUUUAUCUCCAUUACUUUCUACACCAAAAUUGGGUCCCACAACCCGGUUCUUUGUCUAGAGGAUAGCAGUUGAGUACUAGUGGUGGUCUCGGGUAGAAUUGGUAAGAAGACAUCAAACCUUUUGAAAGCUUCAAAGGUAAUACUUCUUAAAACCCUAAUUUGAUUAGUUUAUGGUUACAUGUUAAUUGUGGCAAUUAGGGUAGAAAUUCGAUUCUUUUUCCGCUGUGCAUGACUUAGUUCUAUCAUGUGGUAUCAGAGCAUGCUUCAUUUUUACCCAAUUGCAUGUGGUGGGUUCAUAUUUAUUAGAUAAAUUUUGGUUUGAACUAAAAUGGAUAUAUUAUGAUUUUGGCUCUAGAUUAAGUGUUUUUGUUCUAAUUAUUGUAAUUAGCCUUGUUAAUGGCUUAUUUUUAUUGUUGCAAAGUGUUUGUAAUUUUUUAAAAAAUAAAAAAAGUCAUUAGAGUUGAAGCUAGGCUGUAAUUGGUUCAACCGGGUGAGAGAAUUGAAAAAAAUGAAGAAAAGAAGGUCACAGACCCGAAAACCCGGUUUUGACCCGCUUCGCGACCCGCACGCGCGCCCUGCGCCGCGCGCCCUCCUGCGCCGCCGCGCCCUCCUGCGCCCCCGCGCCCUCCUGCGCCCCCGCGCCCCCCUGCGCCCGCGCGCCUGCAUGCGCCCGCGCGCCCGCAUGUGUCCGCGCGCGCCGCAUGCGCCCGCGCGCCGCCUUCGCCCGCGCGCCUGCCUUCGCACGACCCGUGUGCGCCUGGGCCGGUUCAAGCCAAUAAAUUUGGUUUUUGGGCCGGUUCAAGCGGUUCGGUUGGUUUUUUAGCCGGUUCGAAAUUUUUGGGAGUGGUUCUGUACUACACCAAAUUAAUUAUGUAAUAAUUUAGCACUUAGCUUAAUUUAGGAGCCAAAAAUCAGUCCAUUUUAGGGUGUUUUUUUUAUUUAUGCAUGUGAUGUAUGAUUAAAUUACUUUAAAUUUGUAUGUGCAUUUUGAAUGUCAUAUAGAUUUAAAAUCCCACCAUAGGUUAACAUGUUCAUGCAUUAAAAUGUAUGAUAUAAAGGUUAUAUUGUAUUGUAUGCAUGUUAAUUGAUUAAUAUGGAAAUUAAUUAAUAUGAUUAAUUAAUUAUUUAAUUAAUUAAGUUAUUCUUGAUUAAAUAUGAUUUAAUCAAAUUAAUUAAUUAUUGUUUGAUUUAAUUUAAUUAAAUAUGAUUUAAUUAAAGUUAAAUAAAUUAAAAUCCAUAUUAAUUGAUUGUUUUUAUUAUAUAUUGAUAAAAUGAUUGAUUAAGUUUAAAAGUUUUUAUAAGUGUUAUAAAAUAAAUUAGACUUUUAAAAUCAAUAACAAAGAUUAAAUGCAUGCUCACUUAGGUUAAACAUAUCUUCCAUUUUUCAUAGAAAUAGGUCGAUAUCUUGUAAAACUGGUUACAAAAGGCUCACCUGGUUCAAUCUUGUCAACAAGUCAGAUAAGAUGACUAAGGUUGGAGGUUCUUAAGUUGACGGUUUACGGAACACCUCCUACCUGGAGAUCGUAAUCAGUUCUUGAGCCUAGUUAACCUAGUUUUAUGAGCAUUCGUGAGAGGUGUGAGGUAAUAAAAAUGGUUUUUCACCUAGACAUCAUAGGUUAAAAUCCUGUAUAAUGGUUAUACUUGGAUGUUUUAUCUAGACUUAAGAUUUGUUUAAGUUAGCCUAAAUAUAAAUCUUGAAGUUUGGAUUACCCUAUUUUUUUCUUUUAGAACACUUCAACUAGAGAAAAAUAAUGUAUUUUAGCUCUAGUGUCCCUAAGAGUUCACACCGUGAGGUCCAUGCAGGGCUUUGUGCCGUGCAUAGGAGCGGCCUCCCUUCGGAGAGUGUUUGCAUGGAUCAAAAUCAAGGUGAAUAGGGGAAGUAGUUCAUAGUAAGUGGGUGAGGGAUUUGUGGCAGCACAUCCCACGGUCUCUUCCAUUAGGUCGCACCGUGAGAUUUCUAUAAUAUGCCUGCUUGUCUGCCCUGGAGCGACGUUCCCUUCGGAGGGUUGUAUUAUAGGAUUCGGAAACACCGCGAACUCCAAAACUGGAUAGGAUUUCUUAGAUUAGUUUUCAUAAAUGAUUCUAAUCUAUAAAAUCUGAAAAUGGUGGGUAACACUUACAAGAAUUACUAAGUUGUUAGUAUAUUCUUGACUAAAGUAGCGAUAACUAAGUGCUAUAAAGAAUAAAGAGUUAUUCUUGAGAUAGCAUCUAGUCAAGAUUGUCUUGGUUCAAAGGAGGAAUAAUCAACUACCCUUCGGAGAAGGUUGUUCUAAACCUUUGAAAUAUUGUUGCAAAAUACAAAUAAUGAAAGGGUACAUUAUUAGUAAUUGCUAAAUUAGAUUGGAUAUUUUUUAUGAUUAUAGUUUUUUCUUAAAAAGAAUAUGUUUGUUUUUCAGCAUGAAUAGCUCAAUAGUUCAACUUUUAGCUUCCGAAAAACUUAAUGGCGAUAAUUAUGCGGCUUGGAAAUCAAAUCUUAACACAAUACUAGUGGUUGACGAUUUAAGAUUUGUCUUAACUGAGGAAUGUCCUCAAAACCCUGCCUCUAAUGCUAACCGAACUAGUCGGGAUGCAUAUGAUCGAUGGAUAAAAGCUAAUGAAAAAGCCCGUGUUUACAUUCUUGCCAGCAUGUCUGAUGUAUUGGCAAAGAAACAUGAAUCCUUAGCCACGGCUAAAGAGAUUAUGGAUUCAUUAAGGGGAAUGUUUGGGCAACCAGAAUGGUCCUUAAGACACGAGGCAGUCAAAUACAUUUACACUAAGCGUAUGAAGGAAGGGACCUCUGUUAGAGAACAUGUUCUGGACAUGAUGAUGCACUUCAACAUCGCUGAAGUGAAUGGUGGUCCCAUCGAAGAGGUUAAUCAAGUUAGUUUUAUCUUAGAGUCUCUUCCGAAGAGCUUCAUUCCAUUCCAAACGAAUGCGUCUUUGAACAAGAUAGAAUUUAACUUGACAACCCUUCUGAAUGAACUCCAGCGAUUCCAAAACCUAACUAUGGGUAAAGGAAAACAAGUGGAAGCAAAUGUUGCUACCACAAAAAGAAAAUUUAUAAGAGGAUCGUCCUCUAAAACCAAAGCUGGACCCUCAAAACCUAAUGCUCAAAUAAAAAAGAAGGGAAAGGGAAAGACUCCCAAACAGAACAAGGGUAAGAAAGCUGCAGAAAAAGGUAAGUGUUACCAUUGUGGCCAAAACGGGCACUGGUUAAGAAACUGCCCAAAAUACCUUGCAGAAAAAAAGGCAGAGAAGGAAACACAAGGUAAAUAUGAUUUACUAGUUGUAGAAACAUGUUUAGUGGAAUAUGAAAAUUCUACCUGGAUACUAGAUUCAGGAGCCACUAACCAUAUUUGCUUCUCAUUUCAGGAAAAUAGUUCUUGGAAAAAGCUUUCAGAAGGUGAGAUCACUCUCAAGGUUGGAACAGGAGAGAUGGUCUCAGCUUCAGCAGUGGGAGUUUUAAAGUUGUUUUUUAGAGAUAGAUAUGUCAUACUUAAGAAUGUCUUAUAUGUACCUCAAAUGAAAAGAAAUUUAAUAUCUAUCUCUUGUAUUUUGGAACAAAUGUAUAGAAUAUCUUUUGAAAUUAAUGAAGCGUUCGUUUUCUAUAAAGGUAUUCUAGUUUGUUCUGCUAUACUUGAAGACAACUUAUAUAAGUUAAGACCAACUAGAGCAAAUUUUGUCUUAAAUACUGAAAUAUUCAGAACAGCUGAAAACUCAGAAUAAAAGACAAAAAGUUUCUUCUAAUGCCUAUUUAUGGCACUUAAGACUUGGUCACAUAAAUCUCAAUAGGAUUGGGAGAUUGGUUAAAAGUGGGCUUCUAAGUCCGUUAGAAGAUAACUCUUUACCUCCUUGUGAAUCUUGUCUUGAAGGAAAAAUGACCAAGAGAUCUUUUACUGGAAAAGGUCUAAGAGCCAAAGGACCCUUAGAGCUCGUACAUUCGGACCUUUGUGGACCAAUGAAUGUCAAAACUCGAGGUGGAUAUGAAUAUUUCAUUAGCUUCAUUGAUGAUUAUUCAAGGUAUGGUCAUAUUUACCUAAUACAUCAUAAGUCUAAUAGUCUUGAAAAGUUCAAAGAAUAUAAGGCUGAAGUAGAAAACGAAUUAGGUAAAACAAUAAAAAUACUUCGAUCAGAUCGAGGUGGAGAGUAUAUGGACUUACGAUUCCGAGACUAUUUAAUAGAAAAUGGAAUCCAGUCACAACUCUCUGCACCUAGUACACCUCAACAGAACGGUGUAUCAGAAAGAAGAAACUGGACCUUGUUAGACAUGGUUCGCUCUAUGAUGAGUUUUUCUCAGAUGUCAGAUUCUUUUUGGGGAUAUGCUUUAGAAACAGCUGCUUAUAUUUUGAAUAAUGUUCCCUCUAAAAGUGUUUCAGAAACACCUUAUGAGCUAUGGAAAGGGCGUAAAGGCAGUUUACGUCAUUUUAAAAUUUGGGGUUGUCCAGCACAUGUGUUGGUACAAAAUCCAAAGAAAUUGGAACAUCGUUCAAAAUUAUGCUUUUUUAUAGGUUAUCCAAAAGAAUCAAGAGGUGGUUUGUUUUAUGAUCCUCAAGAAAAUAAAAUACCACAUCAGGGAUCAUCAACCUCGUAGUAAACUAGUAUUUAAAGAAAUUUCCAAAAGUGCUAUAGAUAAAACCUAGUUCAUCCACUAAAGUAGUUGAUAAGACUAGGAAAUCUGGUCAAUCACAUCCUUCUCAACAGUUGAGAGAGCCUCGACGUAGUGGGAGGGUUGUUCAUCAGCCUGAUCGCUAUUUGGGUUUAAUUGAAACUCAAGUCGUCAUACCUGACGAUGGCAUAGAGGAUCCAUUAACCUAUAAACAGGCAAUGAAAGAUGUAGAUCGUGACCAAUGGAUCAAAGCCAUGGACCUCGAAAUGGAGUCUAUGUACUUUAAUUCUUUCUAGACUCUAGUAGAUCAACCAAAUGACGUAAAACCUAUUGGUUGUAAAUGGAUCUACAAGAGAAAACGAGACCAUGCCGGUAAAGUACAGACUUUUAAGGCUCGACUUGUGGCAAAGGGUUAUACCUAGAGAGAGGGAGUAGACUAGAGGAAACUUUCUCUCCCGUUGCCAUGUUAAAGUCAAUUAGAAUACUCUUAUCCAUCGCCACUUUUUAUGAUUAUGAAAUUUGGCAGAUGGAUGUCAAGACAGCUUUUUUGAACGGUAAUCUUGAAGAGAGCAUCUAUAUGUCUCAACCAGAGGGGUUUAUAAAACAAGAUCAAGAACAAAAGGUUUGUAAGCUUAAAAAAUCCAUUUAUGGAUUAAAACAAGCUUCUAGAUCCUGGAAUAUAAGAUUUGAUAUUGCGAUCAAAAUCUUAUGGCUUUGAACAAAAUGUUGACGAGCCUUGUGUUUACAAAAGGUCGUCAAUUCCAUUAUAGCAUUUUUUAGUCUUAUAUGUAGAUGAUAUUCUACUUAUUGGAAAUGACUAGGAUAUCUUCCUGAUAUCAAGAAAUGGCUAGCUAUGCAAUUUCAAAUGAAAGAUCUGGGAGAUGCACAAUACGUUCUCGGAAUCCAAAUUGUUCGAAACCGUAAGAACAAAACACUAGCCAUGUCUCAAGCAUCUUACAUAGACAAAAUGUUGUCUAGAUAUAAAAUGCAGAAUUCCAAAAAGGGUCUGCUGCCGUACAGAUAUGGAAUUCAUUUGUCAAAGGAACAAUGUCCUAAGACACCUCAAGAAGUUGAGGAUAUGAGAAAUAUUCCCUAUGCUUCCGCUGUUGGAAGUUUAAUGUAUGCAAUGUUAUGUACUAGACCUGACAUUUGCUACUCAGUAGGGAUGGUCAGUAGGUAUCAAUCCAAUCAUGGACGUGAUCACUGGACAGCCGUUAAAAACAUUCUACAUGCUCAUGUAUCGUACAAAGGAUGAUCCUUACUGGAUACACUGAUUCGGAUUUCCAAACUAAUAAAGAUGUUAGAAAGUCUACAUCAGAAUCAGUAUUUACUCUAAAUGGAGGAGCAGUAGUUUGGAGAAGCAUAAAGCAAACUUGUAUAGCUGAUUCCACAAUGGAAGCUGAUCAUUUUACAAAAGCCCUCACGGCUAAAGUGUUUGAGGGUCACCUACACAGUUUAGGUGUACGAUGUUUGUAAACUAGGACAAGUGGGAGACUUAUUGGCCAUGUGCCCUAGUUUCAUAUAUAUUUCUCUCACACCACAUCUCUCAUACCACUAGGAAUUUUAGUCCAAGUGGGAGUUUGUUGGAAUUUUUUGUCCUAAAACUCGUAGUUUGUAAAUCAUAUUCUAUUCAAUAAAGUUGUUAUUGAGAAAUUAAAUAUUAUAAUCUUAAAUCCAAUAAAUCAAAGUUCCAAGGCUAUUUUUUGAAUAAACUUGAACUUUAUGUGUAAACAUAAACGUGGAUCAAGUUCGAGUAUAUAGCCUAAAUAGUCUAUAGUAUAUGAAAUAAAGGUUGGGCGCCUUAUUUUGAGAGACUAUGGAUGCGGCCCACUUUGUAGUACAAACGAUGUGAUCCUAAUCGUUCAUGUAGAGACAUGAAAGUGGGGGCAUCCUAUGUAAAAUGUUUACAUAAGACUGAACCAUGAAUUAGUCAUUUUUACGUUAUAACACCGUUUACUGUUUAAAACUGACUAUCUCAAUUAUUGAUGACCUAGGUAACUUAGUCUUAAUCCUGAGUUAACUAUGAACUCCUGUUCAUACGAGAUUAUCCUUAGAUCUGCAUAGGUGAGGGCAGCUCAUCAGCGUUGGCCCAAUAAGCCUCCCAUUUCAGGGGUAAGAUCGGGUGGAUAGCUGGGAACAUAGGGUACAAGAUGGAAUUCACUCCUACCCGCUUUAGGGUUAGUAGAUAGGUUGCUCUCUUAAGCACUGAAUCCAAGUCUUGAACAAGGGGCCCCACCCUCUCAUUGGCCCGAGAGGGAUUAAGUUUAUAGGUUGAACCUUAAACCAAUUGUUCAAUAGUGGAUUAGUGGGACUUAAGGAGCAAGAUGUAAUCUUGGGGGUAAAACGGUAUUUUGACCCAGCCAAGGUUACGAGCAACCUGUGAAGGAUUAACUUACUGAUUAUGGUUUUAUCAAAUGGACACAAAUAUAUCUAUAGUGAGGGGAGUGCAACUACGGGACUUUAGUGGAAUGACCCGUUAGUUAACGAAUGUUGAUUAACUCGGUUUAAAAGAGUUUAGCUAGUUAAUCUUGAAUCGUUGGAGCCCAUGAUCUAUAGGUCCAUUAGGUUCCUCUGCUAGCUCAUAUGGAUUAAACUUAGAACAGUGUGAUGAAAUAAGUCGAAUUGUUCGAAUAGGGAGAAGAAAGGAAAACCGACAUAUACAGUGAUAUAAUCGUCGGUCUUCUAAUUAGAAAUAGAGCUUUAUGUUUUACAUACUAUAAGUAUGAAUGCGGAUUCAUACUAAGAAGCUCGGAAUUGGUCAAAAAUAGUAAAAAGUCAAAAUGUUGACUUUUGACUUUGAAAAGUCAAACUUUGACCGGCCUUAUAUUCAAAUGUGAUUUGAAUUUUGGAAAAAUGAAUGCGGAUUCAUGCUCGGGAGGUUGGAAUUAGUCAAGACGGACAAAAUGGUAAAAAGUCAAAAUAUUGACUUUUGACUUAGAAAAGUCAAAGUUUGACUUUUGACUAGAAAAAUCUAAUGACCAUUUUACCCUUGGACUAAGUUAGUGGGAAAAUCCAACAUUUUGUUGGAUAAUCCCACUAACUCUUAGUGGGAUAUGUGGCUAUAUGAGAUAUAGACACCUAGCCCACUAAGUUCCACUAAUUGUUAGUGGAAUAUUAGGUGUUGAGAUUUGGCAAUUGAAUUGCAUGCAUUUUUGCAUGUAAUUAGGCUAUAAAUAGAGAUGUUUUCAAAUGUUGAAGGACUUUUGCCUCUUUUAUCAUUUUCAUAAUCUCAACAAAAGAAAAAAGAAAGCUUCCAAUCUCAUUUUAUCUCCAUUACUUUCUACACCAAAAUUGGGUCCCACAACCCGGUUCUUUGUCUAGAGGAUAGCAGUUGAGUACUAGUGGUGGUCUCGGGUAGAAUUGGUAAGAAGACAUCAAACCUUUUGAAAGCUUCAAAGGUAAUACUUCUUAAAACCCUAAUUUGAUUAGUUUAUGGUUAGAUGUUAAUUAUGGCAAUUAGGGUAGAAAUUCGAUUCUUUUUCCGCUGUGCAUGACUUAGUUCUAUCAUUUAUCACCUUUUCUCCAGAAUAUCCAGAAAGAUUUGCUUCCUGACGUAUAUCUUCCUUGUUCUCUACCUUUUGCAAGAUUCGUAUCAUUUGUGUUAAUCCCUUCGACUCACAUAAAUCCAUCUUCGCGUAGAUCCAUAGUUUCAAUCCCGACAUAAAUGUCUCUUUUACCACCUUCUCUAAUAGGUCCGACAAAGGAGCUACCCACUUAUCGAAUAAAUUUUUAUAUUCCUCUAUCGUUGUCUUUUGUUGAAUUUGCAAGAACCUUACAUACAGCGAUUCCUCCCUAACGGAUCGAAAUCGCACCAAUAAUCUUUCCUUCAUAUUCACCCAAUCUACAAAGUUCUCUCGUUCUUCUUGAGAACGGUAAAAGUUCAAUGCUAGUCCCUUAAAACUAAUAGUGGAUACAGUCAUUUUCUCAAAUUCAGUAAGUUUAUGAAUGUGCAAAUACCUCUCUACGCGAAACAGCCAAGAAUCAGGAUCAUCUCCAUUGAAUAUCGACAUCUCCACCUUCUUAAACUUAUUGCAGUCACUAUUACUUUCAUCAUCUAUUUUCUUUCCUUCCUUCCUUGUUUCGUUAUCCCAUCUUGGUCACCCUUCGCCUUCGUCCACAUUCUUCGUCGAUGAAUUGUGCAUUGUUGUCGAUUCCAUAAUUCGUAACAUCAUCUGAUUCUACCUCUCCAUAUUUUUGGAUAGUUUGGCCAACGUCUUUUCGAUCACCAGUAUCUUACUAAUCUCUUUCUUAAUGUUCUGUAUUUCCUGGUCAAACGUCUCCAUCUCUUCGAUCCGAGUCUGAACCAUUUGCAUUCUUCUUGCCCAAGAUCAAUGCUCUAAUACCAAUUUGAUGGAAACCAGUCUUGGAAUAAAAUUGCUACUAUAUUAUUAAUGAUAGAAUAGGAAUGAAAUCCUAAUUACAAUAUGAAAUCCCUCUCCUGUUAUCCUCUCUCUCAAGGAAGAAUAGAAAUUCACUUUCUCAAACAAAACCUAACUUUCUCGCCCACGAUUACUUUUUAUUUAUACUAACAAUAAGGUAACUAACCCUUCCCUUUACUAACCCUCACAUGCUAUUCAUGUGCACGUGAUAUUUUUUUUUUAAUUUCUUUAUCCCUCUUCUGCUGUACAGAUGUAAUAUAGGGGGUCUAUCAGAUUCCUCCUCUUUUCAAAGCCUCCAAUCAAACUCAAUGCUAAGUUUGACUGCUCCCUUCAGAGUGACGACCCUCAUUUUCCCCCUUCCGUGGUUUGGGGAUGAUUCCUCCUCUUUUUAAAGCCCUCAAUCAAACUUGAUGCUAUGUUUAGAACGCUAAGAAUAGGUGGUUUAGUUUUGGUUAGGCCAAAAGUGAAAUUUUCCCCCACAAGCACUACUAGUUAGGGAACUCAACACAUUCUACUUGACUUAAUCGACUUGACUCUCUAAUUUUUAUGAGCUUUUUUCAAUGCAUAUUGCAUAUGUUUUUUUUAUAGUUGUUGAUUGUCUCACAUUUUUAUGGUUUGCAUUCACAAGCCCCUUUUUUCUUUCUUUGGUAUGAAAUAUGGUAAUAGGCCUUGCUAGAACCGAUGGGGUAAUCUCUCUAUGGUUCUACACUUAGUUUCAAAGUUUGAUUACUCCCUUCAAAGUGACAACAAGCCUCGUUUUCCCCUAUUGUGGAUCAGAGAGGAUUCCUCAUCUUUUCAAAGCCCACAAUCAAACUCAAUUAGAGUAAAAAGGAAAAAUUUUCAUCUCGGGCGCGUGUACCUCACACGCAUCUCUCUAGGAUUUCCAAGUUCUCUCACUCGGCUGGUGAAGGAGGCGAACGGUUGGUGAGUGCUGCGGCCAGCAAGGGAUCAAAUUCGAAGGUAAUUCGUUCAAUUUUGGCAGAUUGAAUGUGAAAACUAAUGUCAUUUGGUAUCCAUUUCGAAAUUGAUUACAAUUGAUCAAUUGAACCAUUACGAAUGAUAUUCGUUUUGAUUCGGGAGAAUUAACGUUUGUCCCGAAAUUGUUUAAAUCGGUUUCCAAGCUGAAUUGAUUUGAACUAUCUUGAAAGUAUUGCGUGUGGUACAAAAUCAAUUUAUUGGCUAUCAGUUCUGGGUUUGGAGACUGUGAUUUAAUUCACUCGCUGGAGGGAUCUCGCAUUAAUCUCCUCGGUUGAAUUUCAAUUCUUUUUUAGUUCAUUCAUGUUCCCAAAUUGGGCCGAAAAGAUCAUCACGGGUGUUGGGUUGAUGUCUUAAGCAUGAAACAAUGAAGAAAUUAUCCAGUGACAUUGAGGAGGUGAAGAAACGCGUGAUGUCAAGCCUUCAACGCGUACAUGAUAUGACGGCGAACGACCGAAGGGCGGCGACUGCAAAGGCUGACCUAAUUUCUGUGAGGAAGAAAUGGUCGGACAUGAGUGGACCCAAACCGGUUUACGUGAACCGUGAAACAUAUAGAAAUCGAAAUACAGGAAAUGGACCGAGCGGAGAUGGUCCCAUUAAGAUUGUUGGCCCAAAGGCGUGUGGACCGAUUGUUUCGAAUGAAAACUUGAUGAAGCCUAGUGAGCCGAUAAAGGGGUGAAGCCGAAUGGCGUGUUCACAUUUACGAAUGGAAUUGGUCAUGGAUCUCUGGUUGAUGGGCCAUCGUUGAAUGAUGGGCCGUCCAUCUCACACGAAAUUGGGAUCUCACAGAAGGAGUGCUUACCUGCUGGUGCUUCAUGUGUUCAGCAUGUUGGGCAAAUUGCAGCGACCGAAGGAUAUGGACCUCGACUGGAUGCUAUUGCAAGUGCCCCAAAGAUUGGGCCGGGUGAUGGGCAUUUGAAUGAUAGGCCAGCCAUUAGAGAACCGUUUGGUACUAAUUCCAAUGGUAGGCCGCCUGUUUCGAUUCGUGGGCAUGAGGUGCAGAAAUCUAAUAAUUCUAGAGGUGCAGGCAACAAGAGGUUUCUCUAUGACCUAUACACCUCUGACUACCGUGGGAGAGAAAAUUGUGGUGACCCCGUUUGAAGAAGUUAUUAGUUAAGGAGUUAGAGUGUGGGAGAACUCCCUCGUCAGCCAAUUAAUUGAUGCAAAAUUGCUGUAUCUAGUCAUCUAUCGUCUUAUAGAGAAGAUUUGGGGUAGAAUUGAAAUGCCAACAAUUACUCUGAUGGAGAAUGGGCUCAUCUGCUUUCAAUUCAAACAUUUAAAGUCAAUACAGUGGAUCUUAUCCCGUGGCCCAUGGCACCUUGGAGGCAAACCUAUGCUCCUCCGCAAAUGGACUCCAGGUAUAGUUCCUGAAUCCUUCGUCUUUGAUUUAGUUCCUGUUUGGAUAAAGUUAGGGAGGAUUCCGUUGGACCUAUAGAUGGAUGCUGGUUUGGCUGUGGUAGCGAGUGCAAUAGGAAAACCUCUUUUAGUUGAUCUUGCUACUAAAGAGAGGCGUCGUCUUUCUUAUGGCCGUAUAUGUGUGGAAUUGAAUGUGGACAAUAUUAUGCCUGCCGAAGUAACAGUCAUCCUUAGAGGAGAGGAAUUUAUUGUAACUGCCACUUAUGAGUGGAAAUCGAAAAAAUGUAACUUGUGUAGAUCUUUUGGACACUUGCAGAACACCUGCCCUAAGAAAAGAGGCAAUGAAUAUAGUAAAAAGGAAGCUGCAAGUAAAGAGGUUCCUGUUAAAGAGGUUGUUCCUACUAAAGAGGUGGUUCCAGAUUGUGGGGAGUAUGGAGAUGUUGUGUUGGAAUCCUUCCAACACAUGGAAGAAGGAGAAAUUAUUACCCAUAAACUUCCUGAAAAGGUGGAGGUGAAUCAGGAGGAAUUUACCCUAGUUGACAGGAAAAAUAGGGGAAUGAUCUCAAUUCGGGACAGAGGGAUAAGGGCAGAAGUGAGUAUCACUAACUCCUUUAAGAACCUCAUGGAGGUGGAUAAAGGAGAUAAAUGGCUUUUAUCUAUAGUGGAUGGCUCCCCUCCUCCCUUACGAGUAGAUGACUCUUCUAUGGUCCUUUUGAGUACUACAGGUGAUGUAAUUCCUAUGGGAGAGGCGGCUUCCAUAUGACCUCAUGGUUAGUUGGUGUACGUGGAACGUGCGGGGCCUUAAGAGCCCUGUAAAGUGUAGAGCGGUGAAGGACCGGGUAUGGUCUUGGGUGAUUUUAACACCAUCAGACUCCACUCUGAAGCCUUUGGGGGUGCUCCGAACGUGGUGGAUAUGGAGGAGUUUGAACGUGGUGGAUAUGGAGGAGUUUGAAUAGUCUCCCACGAUAUGGAGGAGUUUGGUUCCAUGGAUUCAGGGUGGGCCGAUUAUCCAGCAGUUUGGGGAGAGGGUGAUCUAUGAUGCGGGUAGUCGGUGGGAUGCGAGGCUGGUGGAUUUCAUGGGUCGGGAUGGUGAUUGGAGGUGGCCACUUGUUUAUUUGGAUUUGAUGGACAUUUGGGAUAGGGUUCAGGGAGUGAGGCUGAGUCCGAGUGUUGAGGAUAGGUGGGUUUGGGUGCCGGGGAGUCAUGAUAGUUUUUCGAUCACCAGUGCGUGGGAGACUAUUCGUCCUCAUAGUAGUAGAGUUGGCUGGUCGGGUUUACUAUGGGGUGGGGGAAAUAUUCCUAAGCACUCCUUUUGUGCUUGGUUGGCCAUCAGGGAUAGGUUGGGUACUAGAGGUAGGUUAAGUCGGUGGGAUAGGUCGAUUCCUUUAUCGUGUUUGCUUUGUGGAGGGAACUAUGAGUCUCGUGAUCAUUUGUUUUUUUCUUGUCAUUUUGGGUGGGAGAUUUGGUCGAGGAUCCUUUUGCUUAAGUCAUCUUCUCAUAGAACCGGUUAUUGGGGGGUUGAGUUAUCUUGGAUUUAUAAUCAGGGUAUUGGGAAGAGUGUGAGGAGAAAACUGUGGCGCCUUCUCUGGUGUGCUACAAUUUAUUUCAUUUGGCAGGAGCGAAAUCAUCGUCUUCAUGGAGGUUCUAUUCGGGAGCCUCUGGUUGUAUUCCAGCUCAUUCGGUCGUGUAUUAAAGUGCGUGCUGCUUCUUGGUCGGAUGGUGUUCAUGGUCUUAUUUAAUGUUCUUUUCGUUUGCUUGUCCCCGGGCUGUGGGGUUUCUCUUCUCUUUAUUAACUUUGUUGUCUUUCUCUCUUCUUCUUGUCCUUUUAAUGUUUGGAGCACUAGUUGGUUUCUUUUGGUUUUAGUUAUUGUUCCCGAGAUGUGGGGUUGUUUUGGGUACUUAUGGGUUGUUUUGUCUAACUACUUGUUCUGUGAGUGUUGUUCGCUCUUUUGUCUUGACCUCAGGCUGUGGGGUCCACAUUGUUGUUGUAUAAUAUUAUCAUUACCUUUUCAAAAAAAAAAAAAAUCAAACUCAAUGCUAAGUUUGACUGCUCCCUUCGAAGUGACAACAAGCCUCGUUUUCGCCCUACUGUGGAUCGAGGAGGAUUCCUCCUCUUUUCAAAGCCCUCAAUCAAACUUGACGUUAUGUUUAAAACACUAAAAAUAGAUGGUCUAGUUUUGGUUAGGCCAAAAGCGAUGUUUUCCCCCAAAAGCUCUAAUUGCUAGGGAACUCAACAUGUUCUACUUGACCUAACCGACUUGACUCUGCAUUUGUUAUGAGCUUUUUUUAAUGCAUAUUGCAUAUGUUUUUUUUAUAACUGUUGAUUGUCUCACUUUUGUAUGGUAUGCAUUUACGAGCCUCUUUUCUUUCUUUGUUAUGAACUGCGGUAACUAGGCAUUGCUAGAACCGAUGGGGUAACAUUUCUAUGGUUCUACACUUAGUUUCUAAGUGUGAUUGCUUACCUCUAAUUUUCAAAACACUUCAUUUCUAAGCACAUACAAUACUCACCUAGAAAAAAAUGAAAAUUGUUGUAGUUAAGAUCAAAACUAAAUAAUUAUGAAAUAAGACAUAAGAGAUUUGAUUUUAACAACCUUCCCGUUGUACUUGGGAUCCACUCUGGCUUUGUGCUGGAAAAUUGGUUUGGAGCUGAUCGUAAGCUUUCGGUUGCUCUUCUAUAACCUUUAGAUACUCUUCAAAGCUAUAAGCUUUGCUUCCUGACGAAGAAUCUUCUACUAUUACAAUACAUAAGAAAAUUAUAUUUCAUAAACCCUGUAUCAUAUUUUAUAGAAUGAUUAUUCUAUAACCCUACCGAUAGUUUCAUUCUUAACAUUCAUAGACACGAUGCAUUGCAGCUAUCCAAUUCUAUUUCAUGUUCUCGAGAAUGGCUCGGUUUAACAAUAAUGUUAAUUUUUGUUUUCUAUUUUAAAAUAAUAACGCUGCUUACUAAUCUUUUUUUUUUUUCAUUUGGCAUUCUACUUUUUCUACUUAGCUUUCUUUCCUUAGUGAUAACAAAUAACACGGGUGAUAAAAAACUUAAUCACUCACUUGUUUCAGCCACCGAAAGCCCUUCUCUUCAUUGAAUUUUCAAUUUCAUCGAGACUAAUUUCUCACUCAAACAUUGUCUUGCAUUCUCUAGAAACGUCCUACAAACAAAAAUGAAGAACAAAAAACUACAAUAAGGUCUAUGAAAAAGUUACAAAGGAAAAUCUCAAAAACUGAUAUGUAAGUCAUAACAACCUUAAGUCCUCUUAUCGUGGGUUAAAAUGCAUGUAAGGUUUUUCCAAGAGUCCGAGCAACUAGCAUGUAAAUAAGUUAAGUCAACUAAAUUUGCUAUAAAUUUACUCGUAUUAACAUUAUCAUUGUUAUAGACUUGACAACUUCAAAUUUAUCAAUAUAAAAUAUGCUUUAACAAAACGUACCUUGAGGUUCCUCCAACCUCAUUAAAAAAGCAAAUAAUCCAAAAAUUUAACAAAUUUAUAGUGCAUAUUAUGUAUAUCAAUUGAUCACAACAAAAUAAGAUCGAACAAAUACCCAUGAGUAAUAUUUAGCCACCAAAUGAAUAACGAUGAAAACCUGAAAACAAAACCGAGAAAAAAAAGGAAACAAUUCAUCAACAAAACAAAUUUAGCGGACUAUAAAAUUUCUUACCUUAUUACACACUUCAAAAUAUUAAGAAAAGUGGAGGGAAAAAACCAACCAAUAAUCAACAAAUAAACUUCAACACAAAUAGCCAUAAAUUUUCUUCUUUAAAGGUAUCACAAAUAAGUCCAUCAGUAAUAACAAAAUAAAAAAGGGCAAUGUGCAAUUGAAUUCUGAAGUCGUAAAGCUAUGCUAAAGGCAAUAUGAAAUCAAACUUGAGCACUAACAAGAAAAUUUGCAAAACAAAAAUUACUAGACAUCAUUAACUAAAGUACCAACACAACAAUGAAUGUGUAACCUCCGCAAGAGCAAACCCGAAUGGAGAAGAACAUGAAGAAAUAUAUAAAUAGAAGAAACAUAAAAGACAAACAUGAAACACAUGGAAAUAUACAAAGGGGAUAAAUAAAAGUACAAUUAUAAAGUGAUGAAGCACAAAUAUAGGUAUCAACAGAACCAGAAUACAAGUCUUACCCUAUCUCGACUGUCGAGGAGUGUUAACCAACCGUCAGAAGGUUGGUUUUAUUUUUUAAAAAAAAAUUAAUGUUGUCUGAAUUUUUUUCCAAAGCCACUAACCAGCCCCUCCUUAUCUAUGAUCGGCGAUCAACUCCUCAACAUCUAAUUACAUUUAAAAGAGUGAUGCAAACAUUGUGUGAAAUCCCAAACCUUUGAUGGAUCCCACCAUCACUCUCUUUCUAUCCCCUUCAAAACCUCAUUAUUUUCAAGAGAGGCCUCAAAGCUUCUUCCAAUUAACAUAAAAGAAGAAUGAAAGAGAAGAGAGAAAGGGAAAGUGGUUCAAAAGCUAUGGAAAAAAAAGUAAAAGAAAAUGGUCUACUCAUUAGCACAUCCUACACAGAUGAUAAUGUUAGGGCUAGGCAAUGAGAGACAGAAUGCUUUUGGAGCCUUCUCCUCUACUUUCGAAGAUUUUAACAAACUAAAAUAUGCAAAUGUUACAAGAAAGAUCUUUGGAGAUUUGAAAUAAUCCAAAAUAAAGAAAAAGGAAAACCCCAAUAUAUACAAAUUUCAGAAUCUAAAACUUGAAAAGUGAUCGAAUGAUGAGAUAUGUUUGUACAAUCAAUUAUAGAGACAGUGAAAUAUUAAAACAAAAAUGAAACGUAUCAAGAUAAAAAGAAUAGCAACUAGUAUUAUGACCUUUGUAUGUCUUCAAAAUACAAACAUCAAAAUGAAUCAAGAGAUCUACCACACACAAAUAAUGGUAUCAACACAAAUAAAGCAAUUGUUUUAGUAACAAUAUUUGAGUACAAUUAAACUAAGCAUGCUAUUGUCCUUGACAAAUUUACAUUCUUCUAAUCGAACAAAAUCUGACCUUUAAAUAGUGAUAGAAAUUGAAGAUGAAAGCAAGUUUAGCUACAACUUCAGACCAUGAUAUAUAUGACGAAACCUAUAAAAAAAAGAAGAGUACCUAACUAUAUUUACACAGAGGAGAUCUGAUGCUUACUAGCAUAUCAGAGGCUCAAUCGAUUUAAAUUUAAUUGAAAAACAAUCCCUAUAUUUUAAUGCAUACACAUUGAAUAGCCCCUGUUUCAAUCCAAUUUACAAAACUACCUCCAUAAAAUUACAUAAUGGGGGAAGUUCGACCGGAUGCACUGUGCUUUACCAGAACCACAUGAAAUUAUUGGAACAUAGUUCAUUCAAUUAACUUUCUUCAUUCUAAUUCAAAAUUGAAACAAAUGGAAAGAGGACAAUUGAAUAUUAAAUAAAGAUGGAAUUAAUUGGGAACUCACGGAGUAAUGCGAUUUGUUCGGGGGCUCACCACUGGAGUUGGAAGAGAGACAAGGAUUAGAAAGGAAAGGAAGAGGAGCGUCUGAUAAUCCAGCGGAUUCUUUGAUGAGUGGAGUACUAGUAGUAGUAGUGGAGGUUCCAAGGACAUUGAAGUCAAUCCGGUGAGAGUGAGGGAAUCAAGAAGGUUGAGGUUGAAGAGAGUAGAAAUUGCAACCAAUAUCGGUGACGAUGGUGGAAUCGAAAUUGCGAGGGAAGAAGAAAAGAGCAUCACAGGUCGAAGUAGAGGAGGAAUCAACACUGGAGAAAGGAGAAAGAUGAGGAGAACCUGCCAUUAAUGGAAGAGGGAGGAAGUGAGAGAGAAAGGAGGGAAUUAAUUAAUUAAAGAGAAUUAGGGUUUGAGAAGAGAAAGGGAAAAUGGAGUGUACGAACAAAGAAGAAGAAGAAGAAAUGGAAAGGACGCGCUAGAGAGAAGAAGAUGGAGAUGGAUCGGUGAAUAUCGGUAUGAUAGGGUUUCUUCCUUAAAGAAACGGAAAUUGAGAGAUAGGCCUUAGGGUAUUGAGAAGAGAAAGGAAAAAUGGAGUGUACGAAGAAAUGGAAAGGACGCACUAAGAGAAGAAGAUGGAGAUUGGAUCCGCGACUAAGAGAAGAAGAUUCAGAUGGAUCCGCGAAAUGGGUAUGAUAGGGUUUCUUCCUUACAGAAAGGGAAAUUGAGAGAUAGGCCAAAGAAGACAAGAGAGCAAAAGAGAAGGGGGGAGGAGAGGGAGGAGAGGGAGACUUGGCCGUUAGAGAAGAGGAGAAAGAAAUUUUAAAUGAGAGAGACUGUACAUGUAGGGUUUUUAUUAGAUUUUUUUUUUUUUUUUUGAAAUCUUGCUUAAUUGGAUUGAGAGAAUUUUGGUAUUCGCUUCAUCGACUUGUAUUAGCUGUCCAUUGGUCCAUUGUUUUGUCAUUUUUUUCAACAAACUAAAUGUUUUAAGCCAUUUACAAAUUAGAUUUCGAUAAAUCGAUAAUCAUAUUCUUUUACAAUAUAGGACUAAAAAAGAUAACUAUAUAUAUAUAUAUAUAAUCAUACAACAGUAUUUAGUUAAAUUACAAAAAAAAAUUCUUUUGAAUUUUUGUAGUUUGUGUUGAAAAAAAUAACCUUAAACUUUGAAAUGUUAAAAAAAAUUGUUUUGAACUUUUAAAAAUUAUUCAUAAAUACAUCUACAUACGUAGGAUGAAGGUAUUGGCAUGCUUCUCUAAAAAAACUUUCCAAAAAGAUGUUGUGUGACUUUUGAAAAGAAAAAUUACAAAUGGGGUCUUUUUUAAACAAAUUAGAUAUAUCGAGUUAUAUUUCUUUAAUUUUUUUCCUUUUUUCACAUAUUAUCAAUCACAUCUUACUUUUUUCUUUUUUCUUUGGAACCCUGCAAAAAUAACAAAAACAUUUAUAAUCACAUGACUCAUGUCACUACAUUUUCUAAAUUUUAAAAGUAGUAAAUUUAAAAGUUGAUAACCCUAUGAUUAUCGUUUGAUAGUCAUCUAAUAUCACUAAUUUUGUCAUAUUCGUAAUAUCCAAAUAAGGUUUCUUGGUGAGUCUAGAGUCAAACGUGAGGACUUAUACUAAAAAUAUAUUUAUAUUUUGAAAUUAUCUUAAGGUGAUUAAUAAUAUACACCUAAGAACAAUAGCGGUAUCAUCCACUUGUAAGGGGGGAGGGGAGUCAUCCACUAUAGAUAAGGUCCACUUGUCUCCCUCACCCAACUUCAUAAGGCUGCCAAAAGAGUUAGGCAUAAUCACAUCCACACGUUUACCCUUCUCUCGAACAUAAACCAACUCUCUUUUCUUCCUAAUAACGAGUAAUUUCAUCUCGAUUACCUACCUCCUUUUCCUUAAUAUGCCUAAUGGUGGAGCUAUUAGUCUUACUUUCCUCCAACUAUUUAAAGUCUAACACCACAUCAACAAGACACAAUUGUCCGUUCCUCCUCUUUGUUUGAAACCACCUUGCUCACAUCCUCCUCUCGAUGAACUUUGUUUUCCACAAUCUUAGGACACUUACCACUAGAAUGCCCAAAAGACCGGCACAAAUUACACCUUCGAGGCUUCCACUCAUAAUUCACAGCCAUAACGAAAUCCUCUCCCCUAAGGUGAAUUGUAAAUUCAGCAGGCAUAGGAGAGUCCACAUUUGAUUCAACACAUACUCAAGCAUGUGACAACCUUCGUCUUUCCUUAGUAGCUAGAUCAAAAGAUAGAGGUUUGCCUAUAACACUAGCCACAACAGUCAAUCUGACAUCUGUCCAUAACUCCAUUGGAAUCCUACCUAGUUUAAUCCAUAUAGGAACAUAAUAAAAAACAAAGGAUUUAGGGACAAUACCUGGAGUCCAUUUACGGAGGAGCAUACUUUUGCCAGCAAGAUGUCGCGAUCAACGAGAUAGGAUCCAUUCAACAAGUUUUGGGCAUCUGAAUUGGAAACAGAUGAGUCCGUUCUCAAGAAUUGUAAUCGUUGGCAUUUUAAUUUUAUCAACAAUAACAACGAGCUAAACAAAAUCCUCUAUCCAGGACGCACUAAUGAAAACUAAAAUGUAAAAUAAGUACGAAGUAAUUAAUUAAAACAAAAUACAAAAGAAACCCACAGUAAGUUGACAAAAUGCCCACAAUAAGCUUCAAGAUGAGUGAGAGGGAACACCAAGAGAAACAUGAAUAGCCUUGCUAACUUUUCACUACUAGCCAACUACAUAUUUUUUUACAAUACGUGUUAGGGAAAUCUUUCCCUUUGCAAAACAGACCAAUAUAUAAUCAAUCAUUGGCUCCUUAUGGGAAAAUACAGAAGCCCUAUACAUGUAUGUUUCAAGCCUGUGUUGAACAACUUUUAAUUCCCUAAGAUAAGGAGAUUUAUCUGAAGGUUCGAGAAUAAUGACAUGUCCUAAACUAACCCACCAUUUCGCAACAGUGAACCAGUUUGAUCGUUAGGGGACAACUUUUGAUAAUAAGUGCACAACCAUGCCCCAAUUCCAAUGUUGCCCAAAAGUAAAGGCCUUUCUUCACAAGGCUCCAUAAAAAAAAGUUCAACUUUCACAUAAAGAUCUUAUUUCUUUUUUAUUGCUCCAAGAGAUCUAAUAGAUCUAUUUUCACCACACAAAUCCCUUUUGUUAUCAUGGGAAAUGUGUUGGUUGUGCUCAAACCAAAUCUCUGCUAGCAACACUUUUAUCAAAUUAACCCAUAUUGUUUUUCUUAAAAAAAAAAAGGAUAUGAGUCUCACUAUUAUUAAUAUUGAAAAAUGAAGAGACAAAGUUCAAUGUCAUGAGGAUUAUACAAAGAGCAAUAGGAUGGAGGAUCAACAGACGCACCUGGACAUCUCAACUAGGUUGACACCCCCUUAGCGCCCUCAUCACAUCCAAAAAGCGACAACACAAGAUCAAAACCAAAAGCCACAAAUAGAAGGCUUUUUUUGUGUUUGUUUUGCCUUUGGACAUUACUCCUUUGUUAUCGGUUUUAGCUUGGUUGGAUAUGAUGAGGGUGCUAUGGGGGUGUCAACCUAGUUGAGAUGCCAAGGUGCACCCCCUGAUCCAUGGUUACAUGUUCCUUGUAUAACUCUCUUGUACUAUGAGCUUUUGUCUAAUUAUUAUUAUUAUUUUAAUAUUAAUAAAGAGGUUGUCUCCUUUUCAAAAAAAAAAAAAAAAAACAAAACAAAACAAAACAAAACAAAAGCCACAAAUAUAAAACCAAACAAAAUGAUAAAAUAAUAUGUCCAAAACAAAAUCAUAAAUCAUAGGUAGCAGGUCGAGAACAAAGAAGAAUAAGCCUUGAUUGAGCAAAAAAUCCCAACAAAUAUUGAAUGUUUGGAGAAGACGGAACCAACAUUUCGAUACAAAGACAUAGUCAAUUAAAAGGUGCUAAAUAUUUUUCAUGUUAUCAACACAAAUGGGGCAGACAUGAGGUGAGAGGACAUGGGAGGGAAGUUUUCUUUGAAGUACUAAAGCACAGUUUAAUUUUCCAAACAACGUAAUCCAUAUGGGGAUAUUUAUCCAAAGAGUGAGCUAAAUAGCCCAAUGAGUGAUUGUUUUAUAAAACAUCGUUUUGAAAUAACAAGUAUUUAACAAUUAACUCUUAACAUAAAUGAAAUCAAACUCAAACAACACUCAAAAGCAACCUAGAAUCGUCGAGACAAAAAACAAUAAACUAGGCAUAGAAGCCCUAUCCCGUGAUACGAUACUUACGAGAUGAAACUCUAGGCAUCAAUUGUGCCCUAUCUCGUUAUAACUACAAUGAGAUGGAAAACUAGGCAUUCGUACAGGCUCUCGUCCCUUGAGAUGGGAAACUAAGCAUCUUUAGAAGUCUUCAUCUCUUAUCUAAUACCAAUGAUGGAAAGCUAGGUAUUUACUGAAUAUCCAAAUCAAAUGACCUCUAUGCACAAGAAAAUCUCUCCCGAAGGGUUGCUAUAUAUCUUAGAAUAUUUUAGGUAUAGACUAAAACAUGCUAAUAUUAUUUUCAAGCUUAAACAUUUUGAAAACUUAGCACAAUCAUGAUUGCUUAUAAUUUUAAUUAGUAAAUUCAUCAAUAAAAACAUGUUUACCAAAAUGUUUCUAAAUUCAUGCUUUGGAAAUACAUUAUAAAUCAGUAUCCUCAAAUAUUCAAACAUCAAAGCAUGCUUGAAACAUUUGAUAGUAAAUUCAUGUUUAGAAAUCAACUUUAAACUCAUUUUUGUCACUUAUCGAGAGUAGCUUGGACCCUUGGCUUAUAAACUUGUUCUAUCUCCUUCAGAUCUAAAAUAUCAAAACUUUGCUUAAAAUUUCCAAAAACCACAAAAACAGCCCAAAGACAUUAGCUUGCGUACAAAAUAUUGUGGCAGAAGUUGGCAGGCGCGCGUAGGGCUUGCCUUGCCAUGUCUCAUUCUAACCUCAAGUGCAGCGUGUCACAAUCACAACUUUUCAAACACGGAACAGAGAAUUGUGCGGCACUUGUUGUAACUCGAUGAACACGUCAGUUGUAUAAAAUUCGAUAUGAUGUAGCCUCCCUACAGGUUUUAAGAGAAAUUGGUUUUAUUAAACAUGAGAGAGAAAGGAAAGCAUUGGAAACAUCGUUAAAAAAAACUUUGAAGAUUGUCCAUUGCAAAGAGAGCUUAAAUUGCAAAGAGUACCUCUGUGAUGAGAUUGGUUUGUGGAACCAAUUGGGAUGGGAAAAAGUUUAGAGAUAUUUGAGAGAAACUCUUUUCUUUUUGCAAAGAGCAAUAGCGUUAGCCUUAUUUUUUUCUUUUUUUAUUAAUUCAUUUUUUUAAGAAAAUUGUUUUCUUCUAGAUAUUAUAACUCUCUUUCCUUCUAGGAAUAGAAAAUGAAGUAGAAGAGAACCAUGAGAUUCUAUUAAUUUACAAAUAAUUAAAUUAAUAUAUAUAUUUCAAAUCUACUGAUUAAUUAAACAUUAAUCAAUUAGUUAAUAAUUAAUGAAAUCGAAUUUAAUUAAAUAAUAUUAAACUAAACUAUUAAUUAAUUCUCCAAUUAACUAACAACACUAAAUUAUUUAUCUUAUAUUUAACUUAAGUUAAAUUUGAAUCAUAUUCAAAUAUAAGUUUCUCUCAAUAAUUUUAAUAUGAAUCCAAUUCACAUUAAAUUAAUAUUUGAACUCAUUCAAAUAUUUUAUCUCUCAUAAAUUAAUUUUGAAUCAUCCCCAAAGUUAAAUUUAUAUAGUAAAGUUUGAUAAACUUUAUAUUAUAAUGUAUCACUAUACAUUAUACUAAUUCCCAAGUUAAAUUUAAACAUUUUAAAUUACAACCAAUAUAAAUAAAUCUCAUUACCCUUUACGAGCUAGGAAAGGGACCUAAUGGAUCUACAGAUCAAAAGCUACAACAAUCUAAGAUUAAUUGGCUAAACUCAUUAACCACAUUAAUCAAUAUUCGUUAGCUGUGUGUACACUCCAUUAAAGACUCACAACUGAACUCUUCUCACUAAAAAUAUAUGUCUGUGUCCACGGAUAUAGACCAAUAAUAGUAAGUUAGUCCUUCACGAGUGUUUGUAACACCAGUUGGAUCAAUUUACCGCUUUACCCCUAUGUUACCUCUAAUCCUUAAAAACCAGUGCUCCUCUAAUGAACAAUUUUUUUAUGGUCCUACUAAUAAACAAAAACCCCUCUCAUGUCAUAGAGAGGGUACGAACCCUUUGUCCAAGUUUUGAAGCCACCAUUUAAGCUAACAUUCAUCUACUUACCCUAAAGUAGGAAAUGAGUGAAUUCUAUUUUGUUUAAUUAUAAUCCCAACUCCCCACUCAGUCUUGUCCCCAAAAUCACUACUACAAAAAUAGGCUCUCUUGACGGUUGUAGUUUUCCUUUCUUGACGUUUUUUAAAUAAAAAAACGUCAAUAAUUUUUAUGAAAGGCCAAUUUUCAACUUUCUUGACGUUUAUUAAACACAUUCUCUGUUUGAAAAUGAGUAAACACGUUCACCGUCCUUCUGUCGCAUUCCACUUUCGCUAAACCUCUAUUCGUUUCCAAAUCCUUCAUGGUUACUCAUUCAUUUUCUUCCCUUUCUAAAGGUAAUAAUUUUCCUUUUUUCCUUUGUGAUUAAAAUUUGUAAUUUGUUAUUUAAAAUUGGAAUGCAAAAUUAAAGAAGAGGAAAUGUGCCUUAGAGAAUGGAAGAAAGGUUUUGCAUUUUAGGCUUGAAAAGGGGGGAUACAAGUUAUUAUAAUUGUAAUAUAUAAUAUUUUGAACAAGGCUACCAAGCGUGCAAAUAUGAUUCAUUGGUUAGUUUAGGGAUUGGAAAGAGAAGGAUUGUGGAGUUUGUGAUAAUAUUUUGGUACACUGGAGCUGGAAACAGAGAAUAUUAAAAAACACAUACUGUUAUACACAAUAUUAUAAUAAUACGAAUCACUAGCUUUUCUUCUUCGUUUUCUUUUUCUUCUCCUUGAAUUUUUGUUAUGGGUAUUGUAUUCCGUUUUGUGUUUUAGAUUGUGAAGUAUGGGGUAGCUAAACUCUUAAUCCUAGGGAUAGAUGUAGACAAAGUUUAUGAAUUAUUCUUUGUAAUGCAUCUGAUUAUUUGCUCUUCAUCUUUUCAUGUUUUUAUGUGAAUAACGUUCAUAAUAUCUUAAUCACAGAUUAAUUGUUGAUUGGCCAUGAACCUUAAUCUUUGCAUGACUAGAGUGGUUAUGAACUUGGAAAGAGAUAAUUAAGGAUCCUUGAGGAGGUUGUUGAAAGAAGUGGACCUAAAAACUUUUGUUUGUUAAUAAAAAGAAAAAUGAACAGAGAUUCAUCUUCGUCAGGGGUCUUGAUGUUUAAUUUAAUUUAAAUUGUGUAUGAAUUUUUAAUUACGAGCAUUUUAAUAUGUUGCGUUUUAAUCCUAGGGAUAGAUGUAGACAAAGAGCACUAUAGCCAAGGUAUAGAGUGAGGGAGAUAAGGUUUAUAUGUCUUAGAGAAUGGAAAGAUGGAAUUUGUGCUAAAAUCAUUAGUGUUCCAAAUACAAUUAUGAAUUGGGUAUAGUUGCAUUCCCCCUUCUAGAUUGCAUAGCACAUAAAUAUACUCUCAUGGAUUGCAUAGCACAUAAAUAUACUGUCAAAAACAAUAACAUAAAACACAAACUUGAUUUAGUUUCAUUCACACUUGUACACCAACAUGUUUCAAGUAAUGAUCAUAUAUUAAAAAUCAUUUUCAAAUUUGGUAAUAUAAAAUGGAAGAAGUGAGACCUUGAGGUUUUGACCACCAAUACUAUCUAACUGAUGAGUUUAUGAUUUUUGUUUCUAUUGUGUUCUUUCCUUAAGCUUUAACUUGUUUUAGGGGCAAGAUGGUGAAGGUCUAGUCCACAACCUUUCCCAAGAAUUUAAUGAUGUUUGGGUUGACCCAAUUAUUGUUAUUGGACACCGUUUUAUGGUAAUUGGUUGUUAUGGUUUUUAAGUGUGUUUUGAUAUCUUGUGUUAAAAAAUAAUUGCAAAAAGUCGGAAAAGUUUGUUAAAGAUUAGGUGUUUUUAAGUUUGUCAUUCCACUUUAAUUCUCACCAGUACUUGCUGAAUGGAAGCCUCUUGUCUAAGACAAUUCGAGUGGAAUAACUCUCGUGACUACCACAACAUUUGGGAACUCACCAAAUGUAAGACUAUUCCUUUAUCCUAGCAUUUGAUCUCUCUCUAUAAUUUGGUUUGCUAUCGUAAGUUUCAUUAAAAUAAAUGCUGAUAAUUCAACUCCAAUGUUCUUAUUUUCUUAACUCCCAUUCAGUCAGUUAGAAUCAGAACUCAUUUAUUUAUCUUGUCUCCAUAAUUUGGAUUCAAAGAUUCAUCACAAUAAUCUUCUCAACAACAUUCUUGAAAAGGUAUUGAAUUUUCAACUGUGUGACCUUUAUACACAAAUUUCUUCAAAGAAAUUUACAUUCUUUAGAGUUUAGAGCUUUGAAUUCUAGUACAACUUAUGAAGCUUUUGAUACUUGUUAGACUUUUUUGCUUGGUGCGGAUAAAACCUUAUUUACAUUCUUUCUUUCCUGCAUGUUCUCUUUUGAUAUUUGUUAGACUUUUUUGCUUGGUUGUCCUUAGUGUUUUCCUCUUUAGCUGAAAUUUCUCUAUCUUGAAAAAAAUAGAGCUUUAAAAUUCAACUUCAACUUUAUUUGAUACUAUCUUAGUCCAUACUUAUUUUGGUAUUUCUUUCCUUUCUCACAAACACAUCUAAGAGGUUGCCUUCACAAUAUGGCCAAAUUAACAAUAUGGCAACCUUUUUCAUUGCAAAACAUAUUAGAGGUUGGUUACUUAGUUAGCCUUAUUGGGUAAAUAAUUGACAUUUAGGUACUUUUUAGUUUGUAUAUUUAUAGAUGCCAAAUCGAUAUGUGAAUUUUAAUUGUUGCUUAUUUGAAACAUUGCAACCAUUUGAUAAAAUGUUGCUAUGUGAAUCCAUCUUAACUUGAUAUAUUAUUUUAUUUUGGUUUAGGUUGUGGAAUCCAAGUUUGUAUUUGAAGUCAAAUUCAUCCAAGAUCAUUGAGUUUCAAAGCUUCUUUAAUUAAGAUUUUGUUUCUUGAACUAGCAUUGUAGUCUUGUGAUUUUUGGAAUAGCAUAGUUGGAUUGGUUUUGUAAUUUUGGUUUUGUAGAUUCAUCCAAGAUCACUGAAGUAGUGUUUUGUAUAUGACAAUAUCAAACAAACAUGUAAAGUUUUCGAAAUGUUCAUACAUAUAUGAUUAAAUGUUAAUAUAUGUUAAAGUUUUGGAAUUGUACUCGUGCAUAUUUAUGAGAUUGUAUGGCCACACUACAGGAAUUAUAGAGACAAUACAGGAACAAAAAUAUAAAUAAAUUAUAAUUUAGAAAAAAAAUGAAACAAGCUUGACGUUUUUUAAAUGUCAUAAACAAAUACAUUCUUGACGGUUUUUCAAUGUCAUUAACAAGUAAAUUCUUGAUGUUUUUUAAACGUCAUAAACAAUUGUGUUCUUGACCGUUUUUAAAUGUCAUAAAUUACAUUCUUGAUAGUUUUUAAAUGUCAUGAAUACUCAUUCACUUGACGAUUUUUAACUGUCAUGAAUAUUUGUAUACUUGACGUUUAUAAAACUAUUAAGAAUCGCUAUUCUUGACGUUUUAUUAACCGUCAAGAACUUUGACUUUCUUGACGCUGGCUUCAACGACGAUUUUAAAACCGUCAAGAAUAGUGAUUCUUGACAGUUUAAAAACGUCAAGAGAAUCUGUUUUUGUAGUAGUGAAUGAUAAGCUUAUUGAGUCGGCGAUCUAGCCACUCUCACUCGUACAAAUCAAAGGACAAUCUCUCGUGAACAAGAGUUCAUAAUACACUCAAGAUUAAGACUAAGUUAUCUAGGUCAUCCUAGUGAAAUAAAAACCUAACUAGUUAAUGUAGUAACACCAAGUGGUUACUAUUUCACGAUCUGGUCUAUUGCAAUCUCAUUGCAUAGGAUACCUUCACUCGCAUGUCAACUACAUGAACACAUUGGAUCAUUGUAUUUGUAUCAAAUACAAAGUGAGUCGUAUUCAUAAUGUUACCAUGAUAAAGGUACCCAGUCUUAUCCCUAUACUAUAGACCCUUUAAGCUGAUCUCGAACAUUGAUCCCUGUAUGUCUCUACAUACUAUUCAAUACUUAUUAAACAGUUUAGGAUGUUAGUUUAUUGGAUUUGAGUUACAAAACUAAUAAUAUAAUCAAUAACAAAUAUUACAAUAAUAACACUUUAUUAACAAUGGUCAAUGGAUUAUAUUUACAAUCUACGAGUUUUAGGACAUAAAUUCCAACAAACUCCCACUUGGACUAAAACUCUAGUCUCUUUGGGAUGUUCAUAAUAAAGUAAUCAUCUAACAUUAAAAAUGGUAAAAUGUACAAGUGUAUUACAUAAAAUGUGUAUAUACAAAUACAAUAAACUAGGGCAUCCUCAUACCCAUUACACAUCUGCCACUUUUCCUAGAUUACCAAAUGUACAUAACUCGCAGAUUUAGACUUUCUAGAAGACCCUCGAACACUUUAGCCAUGAGAGUCUUUGUAAAUGGAUUAGUAAUAUGCCCCACUAUUAUCACAAUAUAAAGUGAUGGGGCAUGUUCAUGUUUGGAACAACUUCCAAAUUAUGCAAGAACUUCCUUAGCAAAACUGCUUCUUUUGCUGCUUCACAAGUAGCAAUAUACUCAACUUUCAUAAUAGAGUGUGUAAUGAUGCGUGGCUCAGGCUGCUUGAUCAUGCCAGGACAUGCUUCUUGCAUGUCCCAAGCCUAAAUAACCUCUUUCGCUCAAACACACGCUCAUCUCACCUUGUCAUUCUGGCAAUCAACCCACCCUUGGCCUUGCCUAGAAAUAUGAUUUUUCUACCAGAAACUUAACUCGACUUUGAAGCUUAAAUCAAUAAGAUUCCUUCUACAAACUUACUUAGAAUGUCUUCACUAGCUUACCACAAAGUGUCACUACCAAAUUCCAAGUAUUGAGUUAUGUAGCUCCAAAAUACUCUAUAUUGUUCAAGUUUUUUUUUUUUUUUUUUCUGAAAAUGACCUUUGAGUCUUUCUUCACUUCAAUGCCUUUCUUCCUGGUAGCCUUUCUCCUGAUACUACACUCAAUUUAGGAGAUUUUUGAAGUAGAGUUACCCAAUUAACACAAGUUGAUUGUUAACAUAAUUCAUCCAAAGUUGUACAUAUAGUGAUCCUUGCAUGCUCUUUGGUUGACACUUUUAUUCUCACCUCUUACGCCUAUACUUGCCACUUUCCACCUCAUGCAAGACACUUAUUUGGCAAAACUUAGGUAUCUUGUAUGUUGUCCACUUGUACUCUACCGCACAUCUUACCUCAUAUUGCUUAAGUCAUCCUUGGAUGCAUAUCCCUUUUUCUAUGAGGGUUCUUUAGUAAAUUCUUACUGCCAAGAUUGCCUAAGACUUUUUUUUCUCGCCUAAUCUCCCAAACAUCCCUCAAUGCCUUCAACAAACCAUGCCAUUCUGACUAGCAUUUGGUUGAAUUGCCCCAUUGGCUGCAUGGCCUAUGUCCACAUAGCCCACCUCUUUGUUGCAUGACAUUCCUUAUCCACGUUUUAACUUCUUUAGAGUUUCUUGACAUUUCUUAGAUGCUUAGCUUCCUUGCCUAGCACAUACCCUUGGUCAUAUAGCCUUGUCUUAUAGAGGUUGUCUUGACACCUUUCGGCCAUACCACAUCUCAACCUUUGGCCACCCAACAUGUCUCUUUAGAGGUUCGCUUGACACUUUUGGCCGCCUAGAGUAUGCAACAUGCCCUAGCCAACACUUAGCCAUAUUUCAAACACCCUUUAGGCCUUUCUUUGUUACGAUGACACUUUUCUUUUGUCAUCUUAAAAAUAUUAACACAUCUUCCAUAACACUUCAACUAAACUAUUUAAUCUUAAACCAUCUUUCUCCUAACAUCAACCCCUAAUGUCCUAUUGAGUUCUUUAGAUGAAUUAAGGAUUAUUGAGUAUCGGGGUUUACACGCGAGAUGUAAGUCUUCCUCCUUGGAAUUACGUAUAGUAGUGUGCGGAGGGAGAGGAAUGUGAUGCAGGUCUUCCUCCUCAACCCUAAGGAAUUUUUCUUCGCUAACAAUGCCCUUUUGAUUGGGUAAGGGCUUGUUCGGUCAGGUCGUGAGGUGAAGGAUGUUGUUAUAAUGAUGGGGGAUUUGGUGGUGAGUGGAUAAUAGACAUGCGAGAGGACUUGAGUAAGAUUGAUGAGGGGGAGGUUCAAUUUUUGGAUGAGGACUGGAAUUGAAGGAUUUGGAUUUUGGAGGAGGCGAUGAGAGAGUUAAGGGUCGGAUUGCAAGAGCUUUAGGGUCGAUGACCAAGAUGUUUAUUAAUAACAUGUGUUUGAUACAUAAUUACAACACUUUGACCAAACAACCAAUGCUUAACUAUUUUCAAAACGUCUGGUCAUCUCGCUGCAAAUCCUUCAACCUUCUUCUCUACUUGGCCUAAACACCUCAUCUUGGAAGAUGAAUUUUUGAAAGAAUGUCUAAAAGACUAAGGUUUUAUGAAAUCCUUUUCGCAAUACCUUUUCAUAAACAUCAUUUCACAUAAACAACAUCAAAUAAUUUUAUCUCGCAUAAACCUUUCUUUAUCCUUAACAUACUCAUAACAUAACAAUUUCACAUAAACACACAUUAGUUAACAUUCAUUCCUUUCACCAAAGAUUUUGAAUUGUUCUCUACACUUUGAUGUAGAACAUCUCCCUUCUUGAUGUUUCUUGAGUUUUAUCCUAGAGGAGGGUUUGAAUUACCAUUUUUGUAGUUUAGGAUUAGUUAUUUGAAUUACCAAUUUUGUAUCUUGAGUUAGUUAUAACUAACUCAACUCCAAGUUAAACUAACUCAACCCCAAGUUAGUUUAACAACUCUUGUAAUCUCCAGCCUAUAAAAAAGCUUCUCAUUUUCAUUAAUAAGACAUAAAAAAAAGAGGCAUUAUACAUAAAGAUUUCUAGCUUUGCAAUUACUGCAUCAAUUGGUAUCAGAGCAUGAUCCUAGCUCACUCUUCCCUAAAAAAACUUGGAUCCUACCACUCUUAUCCAUGGACGCGGAAGCCUCCUUCAACCAACGCUUGCAGUUGGUAGAACAAGCUAUUGAAGAACUUCGAAAAGGGCAGUCGGAUAUACAAUAAUCGUUAGUAGAAUUAACAAACCUUUUUACCCGAUUUCAUGUCCAACCUUUAGAAGAAGCAAUUUAGCCCCCAAGAAACCCAAUUGCAGGAAACCAAGAAAGACAAGAAAGACCAAUAAACUCUGUUGUAAACCAAGAACUACUAAGAAAUCAACCUAUUCACAUCCACAAUAAUCGAUUGUAUGGAAACAACGUACCUGGAAAUUUCUUAAGCGAUUCUGACUCUUCCGAUGAAGACAACUUGCUGAACAUUCAUCAAGAACCUCAACAAAGGCUUGGACUUCGACCAUACUUUCAAGAAGAUCAAGAAAUACGUAUGAAAGUGGAUCUCCCUACCUUCAAUGGUCGAAUUGACGUGGAGAAGUUUCUUGAUUGGAUCAAGAACGUAGAAAAUUUUUUCGACUAUGCCAAUACACCCAAACACAAGAAGGUUCGAUUAGUUGCUCUCAAACUUUAAGGUGGCGCAAGCGCUUGGUGGGAUCAAUUACAAAACAAUAGACGAUUAUUCGGUAAACAAUCUAAAGAUUAGCUGAAUAUCUUAUAAAAAGAUGUUGCCGUAGGCUUAGUGGUGACAGGUGAGAAAGUAAGCUGUGUCUUUUAUGACUCUUAAACGUUGAAGUCAAUCAAUGAGUUCCAAAUGCAAUAUUGGAAGUUUUCUUAAAUAUUUUGAUGCUUUUGCAUGUUAUGAAAGAACUUGGUUAGAUGUGAGAAAGGGGUUUAUGAGAUUAGUUACUUACUAUUCCCUUUUUCACUGUCAUUGCUACUCAGUAGACAUGCUAUGGGCUCGUGUUUCUGUAGAAUAUAAUUCAGAUGCUCUUUCUCUAGAUUAUAAUUUAUAUGUUCUCUCUACAAAUUUGAAGUAAUUUCUACUGCUUUUGCUAAUAUUCUCUAUAGCUUAUUCAAAAUGUAGUUGUUUAAUAACUGUUCAGAUUUAAAAUAUAUUAUAGAGUUAAAUUUAACACAGUUAAUCAGCUUAAGCAUUUGACUCUGGUGUUCUUAAGAUAUAAAUUCAAAUCCCUAUAAUUUUAUCAUGUGGAUCUUUUCAAUCUUCUCACAUACUGUCUUCAUUUCAUAAUCUUGCCUACUAGCUGCGUAUCAUCAAUGAAAUUACCAUAGGAGUCCACAUGUGGUAAUUAUGGAUCUAGCACGAUAUACUGCGUAUCAUGUUGUUGGAGACCAUUUUAAAUGAUUAACCAGUCUAUUGGUGGUUUGAGUCUUUCCUUUUGAAUCUAUAGGUUGUUCAAUGGUCUAAUAUUAACUGUGUUUAGAUUUAUGGUAAUUUUCAUUCUUUUACAGCCUUAAUAACCAAGAAAAGGUGUGCUUUUAUAAUCUUUUCUUUCUCUUCGGCAGGUUGGUAAUGUAGAAAGGAUACAUGUAUACUAUGCCCAUGGACUAGAUAGCCAAACCUUUGUUCGCCGAUGUUAUUGGCUCCUAGAUAAGUAUGUUAUGGUUGAAAGAAAAUUGUUAAAUUUCUUGCUACCAGUUGUUUCAGUGGGGUCUAUCCCCAUCAUGCCACAAGCAAAGAAAAAUGAAAUUAAACAGUGGAAGUAUAUCGUGUUCUACUUAUAUAAUUUAUGACUUGCUUCUGCUUUUUGUUCAGGACCUUUGAACACAUUGUCCUUGUUUAUUACCGUGAAACACAAGAGGUUAGGUUCAGCACAAUGCAUCUGCAGUUACUAAAAUAUUAUCUUGAGACAAACUUUUAUCAUUGGACUACUACAUCUAUUUAAGAUUUGCUAAUUUUUCCUCCAUGGUUGCAAUAUUAGAACUUCAUCCAAAAUAAUGUUGUCAUGUGUGUCUUUAAAUUUUUACUGGCAGUCUGGCACCAUAUAGAUCUAGUAGUUGUGCAUGCAUGUCUUCCUCUCUAUCCUCCAUUGAAAAACUCGAUAAUUAUCUGUUUGUGUUUUAUUUUGAUGAUUUAAUCCAACAUUUAUUAUGGAUAAAGUCAGCCAUAAAAUACAUAUGUUUACUACUGCUCUUUGUACAUUUUAAAUACUAGAUUUCUUGAUGAUUGUUGUCUUUAAGUUGCUCUUAAUGUUGUUGCAUAUCGAGAAAUGCACUGUAAUUUCUGUACCAAUUUUAUCACUGCUUUUAACUAAAUCUUCAAAAAUCAAGGCACCACCUGGAUGUAGAGUGCUAUAUGGUGAUUCAAGUGUUGAGAGUUCUCUUUCUUCUGCUAUCCAUAAAUUUAUGGAAUGGAAAGGCAAUGAUCAUGACACUAUUUUUUGUCAGAUAAACACAGGUUUCAUAUGCUUCAACUCUGUGGUGCUUCACAGCACACGGAUAAAACUUCCAAACAUUCUGCACCCAAUAUUACCAUAAUGCAUUUGGACAUUUCAUUAACAACUUCUUACAAUUAGCCUUUCUAUAUUGAAAAUAAUUCGUUGUCUUAACUUCCUGUUGCUCCUAGUUUCAGAAUUUUCCAUCCACAUCGUUGAACUCAAAUUCUGGUUCUGUCUCUAACCCAUCAACUCCGUGGCUUUUAUCGGAGGAACUUGAUUCCAAGGCUACUCAUGUUUAUUCUCUUGGUGAAAAUGAAUUGUCAGGUGAUACUGGCCGAACCUGUCAAAAAUAA
Molecule: long non-coding RNA, 32332 nt
Filed under: Cucumis sativus (cucumber)
Lineage: Eukaryota; Viridiplantae; Streptophyta; Magnoliopsida; Cucurbitales; Cucurbitaceae
Description: long non-coding RNA (CSAT_LNC003039)
Source: RNAcentral